AAAUGAAUAGACGGGGGCCCGCACAAGCGGUGGAGCAUGUUGCUUAAUUCGAGGCAACGCGAAGAACCUUACCCGGGUUUGACAUGCAAACGACCGGCGGCGAAAGCCGCCCUCCCCUCGGGGCGUUUGCACAGAUGCUGCAUGGCUGUCGUCAGCUCGUGCCGUGAGGUGUUCGGUUAAGUCCGGCAACGAGCGCAACCCGUGCCGCCAGUUGCCAUCAGGUGAUGCUGGGGACUCUGGCGGGACCGCCCGUGUCAAGCGGGAGGAAGGCGCGGAUGACGUCAAGUCCGUAUGGCUCCCACGCCCGGGGCUGCAAACGUGCUACAAUGGCCGGCACAGUGGGGCGCGCGCCCGCGAGGGCAAGCCAAUCCCCAAAACCGGCCCCAGUCCGGAUCGCAGUCUGCAACCCGACUGCGUGAAGUCGGAAUCGCUAGUAAAGGGGCAUCAGCGACGGCCCCUUGAAUACGUUCCCGGGCCUUGUACACACCGCCCGU
RNAcentral lists this ribosomal RNA (494 nucleotides) under uncultured bacterium. Its description in RNAcentral is "bacterial SSU rRNA". It matches the Rfam family "Bacterial small subunit ribosomal RNA", at positions 903 to 1397 of the family's 1533-position model. The record is from RNAcentral.